Molecule: ribosomal RNA, 500 nt
Filed under: uncultured bacterium
Lineage: Bacteria
Description: partial 16S ribosomal RNA
Rfam family: Bacterial small subunit ribosomal RNA
Source: RNAcentral
AUUGAACGCUGGCGGCAUGCCUUACACAUGCAAGCCGAACGGCAGCACGGGAGCAAUCCUGGUGGCGAGUGGCGAACGGGUGAGUAAAGUAUCGGAAAGUGCACAGUCGUGGGGGCUAACGUAGCGAAAGUGACGCUAAUCCCGCAUACGAUCAAUGGAUGAAAGCGGGGGAUCGAAAGACGUCGCGCGAUUGGAGGGGCCGCUAACAGAAUAGGUAGUUGGUGGGGUAAAGGCUCACCAAGCCGACGAUCUGUAGGUGGUCUGAGAGGACGACCAGCCACACUGGGACUGAGACACGGCCCAGACUCCUACGGGAGGCAGCAGUGGGGAAUUUUCGACAAUGGGCGAAAGCCUGAUCCAGCCAUGCCGCGUGCAGGAUGAAGGCCUUCGGGUUGUAAACUGCUUUUGUACGGAACGAAAAGGUUUGGCCUAAUAAGCUGAACUCAUGACGGUACCGUAAGAAUAAGCACCGGCUAACUACGUGCCAGCAGCCGCGGUAA